AAAGGGCAGGAGCACGGAGCCAGAGAGCGCACUGAGCUCUCAGCUGAUGUAGAGGGGAAUACAGGCUGCUGUCAGGAGGGGGAGGAGGAGGAGGAGGAGGAGGGACAGUCCGAUCCUCCCAGGCCGAGCCGAGCGACCCGGACGCCUCGUCGGACGUCUGCUCUCAGUUGCACCUGCCAGCUCCUGCACGCAGUUUGGAAAGAGGAGGCCCAAGGAGCGCACACGGAGGAGGAACACGUUCCAGCGCCCAGGAUCAGCAUGGACGGAUUCACCGGAGAUGACUCGGAUAAUGACAUCAGGCAUCAGUACAGCAGGAACAGGAAGUCCUGUGUGAACGCUUCAUCUCUGUGUCACUUCCUGAGAGGAAAUAGAACCAGAAGCUGGAGAAAAAGGCGGUGGCAACAAGUCUCACCUCCACUGUGUGUGUGUGUGUGUGUGUGUGUGUGUGUGUGUGUGUGUGUGUGUGUGUGUGUGUGUGUGUGUGUGUGUGUGUGUGUGUGUA
RNAcentral lists this long non-coding RNA (502 nucleotides) under Nothobranchius furzeri (turquoise killifish). RNAcentral describes it as "lncRNA (ENSNFUG00015016055.1)". The record is from RNAcentral. Lineage: Eukaryota; Metazoa; Chordata; Actinopteri; Cyprinodontiformes; Nothobranchiidae.